UACGUAGGGGGCAAGCGUUGUCCGGAAUCAUUGGGCGUAAAGCGCGCGUAGGCGGCCCGGUCAGUCCGUUGUGAAAGUCGAAGGCUCAACCUUCGAAUGCCGAUGGAUACUGCCGGGCUAGAGUACGGAAGAGGCGAGUGGAAUUCCUGGUGUAGCGGUGGAAUGCGCAGAUAUCAGGAGGAACACCAAUAGCGAAGGCAGCUCGCUGGGACGUUACUGACGCUGAGGCGCGAAAGCGUGGGGAGCGAACAGGAUUAGAAACCCCCGUAGUCC
Molecule: ribosomal RNA, 273 nt
Filed under: uncultured bacterium
Lineage: Bacteria
Description: partial 16S ribosomal RNA
Rfam family: Bacterial small subunit ribosomal RNA
Source: RNAcentral